UUUGCGUAGUCGAGACGUCUCGUUUGUCGUUGGUCAGGAAGUGUAUAAAAGAAACUUCCAGCAAAGUAACUUUAGCAGAGGCUUUAAUGCCAAGCUGGCACCUACUUUCGUGAAAGCCCGGGUGAGAAAAAGACUUGGUAAUAGUUACUACGAACUCGAGGACCUACAAGGACGAAUCCUAGGGAAAUUCCAUGCUAAAGAUAUAAAACAAUGAGGUUUCAGGCGUGGAUCACUCUUUUCAGUGUAUCACUGCCAAGUGUGAUCUUGGUAGGGGGGUGUUGUAGUGGCGCCUGUCCAACCAAAAAUAUCGGAUAACCGUCCCACGGUUUCCCCUUCCCUUAGACAUGCACCUUGCACCUUUUGGGCAGUUACGCGCAAGAAAAAAAUGACAUAAGUUAACAGCGGCUACUGUCAAGGUGUGGUGAGAAAAGGGGAAUGAGAGAACCAAGGGCUCAAGCGGAAGGAGAGUGGCUUGGGCAUGUUCUUUCCAAUGUUACUCGCGAUCCCAGACGGACGUCUGAGGAAAAUACUCAAGUAGUGCAGUGAAAGGAAAAAUUCUAACCUCGACCGUAAUUACCGCGUGUCCAUCGUGGCUAAGACCUAGUCAAAAGAUCAGCCGACCAUUCCUACGUUUAUUAAGCGAAGGCCGAACCCAUCGGGUUUGGCCGUACGUAAUACCGUACGAAACGCCAGUCGUAGUGCCGUAAGCCGUACCCACUACAGUCUCGUCACCUUACCACACAUAUAAAUACCCAGCGUCCCGAUCGACUACAGUAUGUGUUAGCCGUCUUCGCCCCCAAAUCUUCUUUCGGCGUGGCGUCUGCAUACAUGUGAGCAUCACUGUAUUUACCGCAGCGUGUACCGGCGUGGGUCCACACACAUACAAGCCUUGCUCGGCCUACACCAGUGAAAAACGGUCGAUGGGCUUUUAUCUACGCGUGCAGUGACAUACAUAUGUACAUCUGUGUGAAAUUGACUAUUCCCUCUUCAGUGACUUUCGUCAUUGCUACGUCGCUUACGCCGCCCGCAUACGAACAGUAACGCUAAAGGAGAAGACAUUUACCGGUGCCGAAAUACUGUUUGCGUUGCUGAUGAAGUCAUUCGGUGUCUCGAUCAUGAUGGCUAUGCCCAUGCAUUUCUUCAUAUUAGAAUAAUACUUUGGAACCCCACUAUUGUACUGACCCUAGGAUUAACAUUAAAAGUUAAAUUCGUGGGAUUCGGUUUGGUUGGCUUAUCAUAAAGAAAUGUGCAGCUAGAAGGAAACGAACUAAAACUAAUACUCGCGCGUAUCGCCUAUCUACUCUGACACACUGAUAUUUACAAGUUUUCAGCCACCCUCAUCGACCACAUGGAAGCGCUUUCAUCGUUGGAUUUGAUCGUAAUCCGUACUGUAACGCUGACCAAUCCAAUUGUUCACGUGUUUGUUUUGUUCUGCUCUUUCGCAAGCAAUGUAACUUUCUGCAAUUCCGAAUCUAUCGACAACCGAACUUAUGAUUGGGAUUACCCCACAAGCAAUUGCUGUGCACUUUAAAGGUGCACCCAUCCGUCCCUUGUUUUUGCAUUUAAACUGAAAACCAUUCGAAUAUAUUUCUAUUUGUGUAACGUAAUUACCAUUAUUCCUGAAUAUACUCUUUAUAAUUAGUUGACUCUAGUCUAAUAAGAUCUUUCAUCAUGAUAUUUUUAUAUAUAUAUAAUUAAUCUUAAUUGCAGCUUAUUUGAACAUAUUAUCCUUAUUACUUUAGUAGCCUUUAUACAUAUAUAUCUACCCUCUUAGCGGCCAUGAGAGCUUGUAGGAAAGUU
Molecule: long non-coding RNA, 1800 nt
Organism: Drosophila miranda
Lineage: Eukaryota; Metazoa; Arthropoda; Insecta; Diptera; Drosophilidae
Exons: 3
Source: RefSeq, a predicted model, not a curated record